AGAUGGUCUGUUCAAUUUGGAAUCCAUAGGAAGCACUGAAGUUAAAAUGUUCAACAACAUGACAUUGACAACAAGGAAGGGUCCUCUCCAGGGACUGGAUGAGUGUGGUAUAUUUAGCAUAUUCCUUCAUGGGAGCGAGGUUCCAGAUUGGUUCUGCCACAAGUCGAGCAUGGGUGACUCUGAGCUGUCUAUAACUAUACCUCCACAUCGUAAU
Molecule: non-coding RNA, 214 nt
Organism: Prunus avium (sweet cherry)
Lineage: Eukaryota; Viridiplantae; Streptophyta; Magnoliopsida; Rosales; Rosaceae
Source: RefSeq, a predicted model, not a curated record